UCCUCGUAAGUAAUACCCAUGACGUCAUCAUCGCCGAAAUGUUUGAAGAGUUUCGUUUCCAGUGUACAACACUUUUGCUGCGCGUGAAGUCGGUUUUUUCCCGCCUCACAUAUUUCGGGAGAUUGGCAGCGCCCGCUUCUUCUGCACCAAUUGGGGUGGAUUGUGGUCCAAAGAGCAAAAGCAUUGGACGGACCGAUUGAUUCGCCCGUUUCUCGGCUGUCGGACGGUACCGUUCGACGUACGUUGCGAAGGACUACGACUAUUGAAGGAAGAUGGAGAAGAUGGACCAUCAGUGUCACUCUGUGACUGAAGAAGAUUAUUACGAAUGGCUACUGACGGGAGAUCUACCCCUGGUCCUAACCUUCAAGCCUCCUCCAAAGACAUUCUUUUUGCGAA
Long non-coding RNA from Ornithodoros turicata, 396 nucleotides. RefSeq lists it as uncharacterized. Lineage: Eukaryota; Metazoa; Arthropoda; Arachnida; Ixodida; Argasidae. The transcript is spliced from 3 exons. The record is from RefSeq and is a predicted model, not a curated record.